UUUAUUCUUGGAGAUGCCUUUUCUUGUAGUCUUGAUUUUGUUUGGAAAACCUACCAAACUUUGCUCUCUUAUCGUAUCUUCUCUGCCCGUAUCUUGUGCUCCUGAUUUUCGGCUUUCAUCAAUGCCAUCUAAUCCACGAGACUGCUUUCCUUUUUCCUCUCUAUGAUUAACGUUGAGGGCACUGAAUCUGGAACUACCAACCACACCACCAUCCAUGUCGUCGUUGGGGCUCAUCGUCGAUCAAGGCUUCCUCCUCUGUCUGUAUUCAACAAGCAUCCAAGGAGCCAACUGCUCCUCCUCAACUUUUUUUUUGCAUCUCAGAACCCUGUAUUUGUGACUGGUUGUCUUCUUUCUCUGAGGCAACACCUUGACCAGAUUUGUGCAAAGAAAACUAUCAGUUGUGCCUAAAUCUCCCAUAAUGAAACAAACCAUAGGUAAGGAUUCAUACUCGACACAUUGAGUUUUCCCAUCGAUUUGUAUGGACAAAACUCUUGGUUGUGCCCAAAUCUCCUGCAAUUGAAGCGAACCAUAGGUAAGGAUUCAGACUUGACAUGUUAAGUUUUCCCAUCGAUUUUAAAUUUUGAGACUAGAGGCUUUCCCAAGUCAACGUAGACCGCAAUUCUAGCAAAUUUCCCUCUAAAGCUAUUAUCUAUAUUACAGUCGAUCUUCCCCACCGGGCCGAUUACACUUCCAAUAAACUGUAGCAGACUUUUGGUGCACAUACCCCCUGGCAAUCCUAGUAACAUAAUCCAAAUCAUUAAACUUUUGGGUUGAACUUGGUCAAUCCAGAAUGCUAGUGUCCAAAACUGCACAGUGAGGUAUUGUUAAAGGUUGGUCAGCAUGUGGCGCCAAGGGCAGCAAAGAAGCAGGCCAUGCAACUCAAGCCAAGCAGGAGCUGUUGAACCAAGUGCAGCUUGUUGAAUUUAGUUUAUUUUUGUUAUUUUGGUUAAUAUAAUGCAUUUUGGUUCAUUUUGAACUAUGUUAAGGUAGAAGUUUGAUGUAUUUCUAAAGUGAUUGAGCUGUUAAUCAGCUUUGUUCAUGUGUACAAGCUUAGUUUUGUAAGUUCCAAUAUAUUAGUUGUAGUUGGUAUAGAUUAGUUGACCUUAUACUGAUUUUGACAAGCACAAUGCUUGGUUUAUGUAUUGGCAUUAUGUCAUUGUCCUUAAUUAAUGAAAUUAUCAUCAUUUUUCAUUCAAGCAUUAUGUCAUUGUUCUUAAUUAAU
This 1222-nucleotide long non-coding RNA is filed under the name Gossypium barbadense (sea-island cotton). Its description in RNAcentral is "long non-coding RNA (GBAR_LNC006653)". Lineage: Eukaryota; Viridiplantae; Streptophyta; Magnoliopsida; Malvales; Malvaceae. The record is from RNAcentral.